GAUGAACGCUGGCGGCGUGCCUAAUACAUGCAAGUCGAGCGAACAGAUAAGGAGCUUGCUCCUUUGACGUUAGCGGCGGACGGGUGAGUAACACGUGGGUAACCUACCUAUAAGACUGGAAUAACUCCGGGAAACCGGGGCUAAUGCAGGAUAACAUGUUGAACCGCAUGGUUCUACAGUGAAAGGCGGCUUUGCUGUCACUUAUAGAUGGACCCGCGCCGUAUUAGCUAGUUGGUGAGGUAACGGCUCACCAAGGCAACGAUACGUAGCCGACCUGAGAGGGUGAUCGGCCACACUGGAACUGAGACACGGUCCAGACUCCUACGGGAGGCAGCAGUAGGGAAUCUUCCGCAAUGGGCGAAAGCCUGACGGAGCAACGCCGCGUGAGUGAUGAAGGUCUUCGGAUCGUAAAACUCUGUUAUUAGGGAAGGACAAAUGCGUAAGUAACUGUGCGCGUCUUGACGGUACCUAAUCAGAAAGCCACGGCUAACUACGUG
RNAcentral lists this ribosomal RNA (497 nucleotides) under uncultured bacterium. RNAcentral describes it as "partial 16S ribosomal RNA". It matches the Rfam family "Bacterial small subunit ribosomal RNA", at positions 28 to 507 of the family's 1533-position model. The record is from RNAcentral.